Long non-coding RNA from Coccinella septempunctata (seven-spotted ladybird), 354 nucleotides. RefSeq lists it as uncharacterized. The transcript is spliced from 3 exons. The record is from RefSeq and is a predicted model, not a curated record. NCBI's taxonomy places the organism in Eukaryota, Metazoa, Arthropoda, Insecta, Coleoptera, Coccinellidae.
AGGUUCUGCUGGGCUGGCUAAAUUGAGGGCAGUAUAUUUUUUGUCCCAUAACACCACUCUUUUGUGAACCGCUUCCAAGCUGGACAAUCCACGACCUCCCUCCGAUCGAGGGAGAUAUAGUCGCUCGAUUGCUGAAUUGGGAUGCAGUAUGCCAUGCCUCGUGAAACUGACGCGAACCCACUGAUCCAAUCGGCGCAGUUCCGUAGCUGACCAGGAUUUUGGAUGAUUUCCUGUAUAUGUAGUGCCAAUUGAUUAUGAGCUGUUGACAUAGCCUUCCACCAGUAAUUGCAAAUUCCAUCAACGCCAGGGGCAGUCCAGUUUCUAAGGCGUUUAACCGUUUCGUCUAUGUCUCCU